GAUGAACGCUGGCGGCGUGCUUAACACAUGCAAGUCGAACGAAGCACUUAAGAUUGAUUCUUCGGAUGACGUCUUUUGUGACUUAGUGGCGGACGGGUGAGUAACGCGUGGGUAACCUGCCUCACACAGGGGGAUAACAGUUAGAAAUGACUGCUAAUACCGCAUAACCCGAUAGGAUCGCAUGAUCCAGACGGAAAAGAUUUAUCGGUGUGAGAUGGACCCGCGUCUGAUUAGCUAGUUGGUGAGGUAACGGCCCACCAAGGCGACGAUCAGUAGCCGGCCUGAGAGGGUGAACGGCCACAUUGGGACUGAGACACGGCCCAAACUCCUACGGGAGGCAGCAGUGGGGAAUAUUGCACAAUGGGGGAAACCCUGAUGCAGCGACGCCGCGUGAGUGAAGAAGUAUUUCGGUAUGUAAAGUUCUAUCAGCAGGGAAGAAAAUGACGGUACCUGACUAAGAAGCCCCGGCUAACUACGUG
RNAcentral lists this ribosomal RNA (479 nucleotides) under uncultured bacterium. RNAcentral's name for it is "partial 16S ribosomal RNA". It matches the Rfam family "Bacterial small subunit ribosomal RNA", at positions 28 to 507 of the family's 1533-position model. The record is from RNAcentral.